This 450-nucleotide ribosomal RNA is filed under the name uncultured bacterium. RNAcentral describes it as "partial 16S ribosomal RNA". It matches the Rfam family "Bacterial small subunit ribosomal RNA", at positions 354 to 796 of the family's 1533-position model. The record is from RNAcentral.
GUGGGGAAUUUUGGACAAUGGGCGCAAGCCUGAUCCAGCAAUGCCGCGUGCAGGAAGAAGGCCUUCGGGUUGUAAACUGCUUUUGUACGGAACGAAAAGGCUCUGGUUAAUACCUGGGGCUCAUGACGGUACCGUAAGAAUAAGCACCGGCUAACUACGUGCCAGCAGCCGAGGUAAUACGUAGGGUGCAAGCGUUAAUCGGAAUUACUGGGCGUAAAGCGUGCGCAGGCGGUUUUGUAAGACAGACGUGAAAUCCCCGGGCUCAACCUGGGAAUGGCGUUUGUGACUGCAAAGCUGGAGUGCGGCAGAGGGGGAUGGAAUUCCGCGUGUAGCAGUGAAAUGCGUAGAUAUGCGGAGGAACACCGAUGGCGAAGGCAAUCCCCUGGGCCUGCACUGACGCUCAUGCACGAAAGCGUGGGGAGCAAACAGGAUUAGAUACCCUGGUAGUCC